RNAcentral lists this ribosomal RNA (253 nucleotides) under uncultured bacterium. RNAcentral describes it as "partial 16S ribosomal RNA". It matches the Rfam family "Bacterial small subunit ribosomal RNA", at positions 524 to 776 of the family's 1533-position model. The record is from RNAcentral.
UACGAAGGGGGCUAGCGUUGCUCGGAAUCACUGGGCGUAAAGGGUGCGUAGGUGGCGCCGUAAGUCAGGUGUGAAAUUUCGGAGCUUAACUCCGAAACUGCAUUUGAUACUGCGGUGCUUGAGGACUGGAGAGGAGACUGGAAUUUACGGUGUAGCAGUGAAAUGCGUAGAUAUCGUAAGGAAGACCAGUGGCGAAGGCGGGUCUCUGGACAGUUCCUGACACUGAGGCACGAAGGCCAGGGGAGCAAACGGG